RNAcentral lists this long non-coding RNA (1095 nucleotides) under Piliocolobus tephrosceles (Ugandan red Colobus). RNAcentral describes it as "lncRNA (ENSPTEG00000018865.1)". The record is from RNAcentral. Lineage: Eukaryota; Metazoa; Chordata; Mammalia; Primates; Cercopithecidae.
AAUCGAACUCCUUAAACAGACAAUAUUCUGACGAUAUGUUAUAUCGAAACAAUUUUUUGUAUACGCCCAUUAAAACAUUAAAAGAUAUAUCAGAAAAAGAAAAACAAAAUUAUAUAAGCUUUGAUAAUGUUACUAGGAUAUGCAAUAAUAGUGAAUUUGCAAAUUUUAAAGAUUUUAGAUUAGAUGAAGAAUUAUUUUUUAGUCCUAAUAGAUCAUUAGAUUUGUAUGUUAUAAGUAAUGACGGUAGCAGAGGUGUAGCUGCAAACUUAUCAGUAAAUAAUAACUGGUCCAAUUCUAGAUCCAGUAAUAACAUAAAUCAAGAUAUAACACCUAUUAAUCAUUAUCCUAACAUGAGGUAUGACAAUACUUUUGAAAACAGUAGAUCGGUUAUCAUUUAUGAAACAAAUCAAAAUGUGCAAGCAAAUUAUAGAACGAGUGUAUUUAGUAAUUUGAGUCCGAACAGUCAGUCAAAUUUGAGUGGCAUUUCUAGUCAAGAUAUACGAAAAAGUAUACAUAAUAGACCGUCAAGUCUAUAUUAUAACCAAGAUAUAAACGAUAGUCCAAAUUUAACAGACUCCCCGAAUAUAAAUUUUGUCUUAGAUAGAAACUGUACUCCACAUCUAAACCAUUCCCCACAUCUAAACCAUUCCCCACAUCUAAACCAUUCCCCACAUCUAAACCAUACCCCACAUCUAAACCAUACCCCACAUCUAAACCAUAUCCCACAUCUAAACCAUAUCCCACAUCUAAACCAUACCCCACAUCUAAACCAUACCCCACAUCUAAACCACACCCCCAAUACAAACCAUAGUCCAUAUAUGAACCAUACCCCCAAUACAAACCAUAGUCCAUAUAUGAACCAUACUCCGCGUGAAACUGAUAUACCCAACAUGAGUCAGCCUUUAAGAAUGGAAAACACCAUAUCGCAACGACCUAGUCGCAUGGAAUUAAUAAACGAAUUAUAUGAAAGCAAUUCUUAUUUAAAUCAUACCCCCCAAAUAGGAUACAACAAUAUAUACGGUGGGGACCAUUUUGCUAGUACACAAAAUAUAUCAAAUACUUAUUAUUAUAAACUAAAAAAAAAUGAAACAAAAA